RNAcentral lists this ribosomal RNA (690 nucleotides) under uncultured bacterium. RNAcentral's name for it is "bacterial SSU rRNA". It matches the Rfam family "Bacterial small subunit ribosomal RNA", at positions 80 to 767 of the family's 1533-position model. The record is from RNAcentral.
UUGCUUCUCUUGAGAGCGGCGGACGGGUGAGUAAUGCCUAGGAAUCUGCCUGGUAGUGGGGGAUAACGUCCGGAAACGGACGCUAAUACCGCAUACGUCCUACGGGAGAAAGCAGGGGACCUUCGGGCCUUGCGCUAUCAGAUGAGCCUAGGUCGGAUUAGCUAGUUGGUGGGGUAAUGGCUCACCAAGGCGACGAUCCGUAACUGGUCUGAGAGGAUGAUCAGUCACACUGGAACUGAGACACGGUCCAGACUCCUACGGGAGGCAGCAGUGGGGAAUAUUGGACAAUGGGCGAAAGCCUGAUCCAGCCAUGCCGCGUGUGUGAAGAAGGUCUUCGGAUUGUAAAGCACUUUAAGUUGGGAGGAAGGGCAGUAAAUUAAUACUUUGCUGUUUUGACGUUACCGACAGAAUAAGCACCGGCUAACUCUGUGCCAGCAGCCGCGGUAAUACAGAGGGUGCAAGCGUUAAUCGGAAUUACUGGGCGUAAAGCGCGCGUAGGUGGUUCGUUAAGUUGGAUGUGAAAUCCCCGGGCUCAACCUGGGAACUGCAUUCAAAACUGACGAGCUAGAGUAUGGUAGAGGGUGGUGGAAUUUCCUGUGUAGCGGUGAAAUGCGUAGAUAUAGGAAGGAACACCAGUGGCGAAGCGACCACCUGGACUGAUACUGACACUGAGGUGCGAAAGCGUGGGGA